RNAcentral lists this ribosomal RNA (785 nucleotides) under uncultured bacterium. RNAcentral's name for it is "bacterial SSU rRNA". It matches the Rfam family "Bacterial small subunit ribosomal RNA", at positions 8 to 796 of the family's 1533-position model. The record is from RNAcentral.
AGAGUUUGAUCCUGGCUCAGGAUGAACGCUAGCGACAGGCCUAACACAUGCAAGUUGAGGGGUAUUGCAGCAAUGCAAGAGACCGGCGCACGGGUGCGUAACGCGUAUGUGACCUGCCUUACACAGAGGGAUAGCCUUCCGAAAGGGAGAUUAACACCACAUAACAUCAAGAUGCCGCAUGGUAUUUUGCUUAAAUCUCAGGAGGUGUAAGAUGGGCAUGCGUAUGAUUAGCUGGUUGGCGGGGUAACGGCCCACCAAGGCGACGAUCAUUAGGGGUUCUGAGAGGAAGAUCCCCCACACUGGUACUGAGACACGGACCAGACUCCUACGGGAGGCAGCAGUGAGGAAUAUUGGUCAAUGGGCGCAAGCCUGAACCAGCCAUGUCGCGUGCAGGACGACUGCCCUAUGGGUUGUAAACUGCUUUUGUAUGGGAAGAAACGACGGCACGAGUGCUGUUUUGCCGGUACCAUACGAAUAAGGAUCGGCUAACUCCGUGCCAGCAGCCGUGGUAAUACGGAGGAUCCGAGCGUUAUCCGGAUUUAUUGGGUUUAAAGGGUGCGUAGGCGGGAUAUUAAGUCAGUGGUGAAAGUUUGACGCUCAACGUUAAAAUUGCCAUUGAUACUGGUUUUCUUGAGUACAGUUGAGGUAGGCGGAAUGUGGUGUGUAGCGGUGAAAUGCAUAGAUAUACCACAGAACACCGAUUGCGAAGGCAGCUUACUAAGUUGUAACUGACGCUGAAGCACGAAAGCAUGGGGAUCAAACAGGAUUAGAUACCCUGGUAGUCG